This 460-nucleotide ribosomal RNA is filed under the name uncultured bacterium. Its description in RNAcentral is "partial 16S ribosomal RNA". It matches the Rfam family "Bacterial small subunit ribosomal RNA", at positions 338 to 795 of the family's 1533-position model. The record is from RNAcentral.
CCUACGGGAGGCAGCAGUGAGGAAUAUUGGUCAAUGGGCGUAAGCCUGAACCAGCCAAGUCGCGUGAGGGAUGACGGUUCUAUGGAUCGUAAACUUCUUUUAUAAAGGAAUAAAGUGAGGCACGUGUGCCUCUUUGUAUGUACUUUAUGAAUAAGGAUCGGCUAACUCCGUGCCAGCAGCCGCGGUAAUACGGAGGAUCCGAGCGUUAUCCGGAUUUAUUGGGUUUAAAGGGAGCGUAGAUGGUUUGUUAAGUCAGUUGUGAAAGUGUGCGGCUCAACAGUAAAAUUGCAAUUGAUACUGGCAGUCUUGAGUACAGUUGAGGUAGGCGGAAUUCGUGGUGUAGCGGUGAAAUGCUUAGAUAUCACGAAGAACUCCGAUUGCGAAGGCAGCUUACUAACCAGACACUGACAUUGAUGCUCGAAAGUGUGGGUAUCGAACAGGAUUAGAUACCCGAGUAGUC